Molecule: ribosomal RNA, 612 nt
Filed under: Triticum aestivum (bread wheat)
Lineage: Eukaryota; Viridiplantae; Streptophyta; Magnoliopsida; Poales; Poaceae
Description: partial small subunit ribosomal RNA
Source: RNAcentral
AUGUACUUCAGUGACUUCAAGAUGAUUGACAUCAAUGGAUCUCUUUGCUUCCUCACCAGAACUGGUUACAACGGCGAAGAUGGAUUUGAAAUCUCUGUUCCAUCAGAGAACGCGGUCGCUCUCGCGAAGGCCCUCCUUGAGAAAUCAGAAGGUAAGGUGAGGCUGACCGGCCUGGGCGCCCGAGACAGUCUCCGGCUGGAGGCCGGCCUCUGCCUGUACGGCAACGGCAUGGAGCAGCACAUCACGCCGGUGGAGGCCGGCCUCUCGUGGGCGAUCGGCAAGCGGAGGAGGGCCGAGGGCGGCUUCCUGGGCGCGGAGGUGAUCCUGAAGCAGCUCAAGGAAGGCCCCAAGAUCCGGCGCGUGGGCAUCUUCUCGCAGGGGCCGCCCCCGCGGAGCCACAGCGAGAUCGUGAGCGGCACCGGGGAGAAGAUCGGCGAGGUGACCAGCGGCGGGUUCAGCCCGUGCCUGAAGAAGAACAUCGCCAUGGGGUACGUGAAGAACGGCCUGCACAAGGCCGGGACGGAGUUCAAGGUGGUCGUCCGCGGCAAGCAGUAUGACGCCGUCGUCACCAAGAUGCCCUUCGUGCCCACCAAGUACUACAAGGCCCCUUAG